CUUUUAUUUUUUUCCAAAUUUCUCAAAUUCCAAAUUUUUUAAAAGUUUGAAGUUUGAAGAAAAAACCUUUAAUUGCACAAUAUUGUGCAAUAGAUUUGUAAGAUCUUGACAUUUGUUUUGUGUCAGAAACCCAUAUUGUGUCAAAAAUUUGAUCAGAAUCCAAAUUCUGAGCUGUAUCAAGCCUAAAUGUUGUGUCCAUACUUACCCCAACUGUUCUGGGUUCUACCUCUGUGGUCGUAUAAAGCUGCUCCCUGUGGAGCAUCUGGUUUUGCUCUGUGUUGAAUGCCUCACUAUGACUUUAAGAUGAAGAACAGCAUUAAAGCGCUGUUCCUUUGCUUUUUGUGUGUUUUUUUUGUUGUGCAUUUACUGAUUUAUGUGUCAUAGAUAGAUACCCUUUAU
This 399-nucleotide long non-coding RNA is filed under the name Mytilus galloprovincialis (Mediterranean mussel). Lineage: Eukaryota; Metazoa; Mollusca; Bivalvia; Mytilida; Mytilidae. The record is from RNAcentral.